Epinephelus fuscoguttatus (brown-marbled grouper) is the source of this 681-nucleotide long non-coding RNA. RefSeq lists it as uncharacterized. NCBI's taxonomy places the organism in Eukaryota, Metazoa, Chordata, Actinopteri, Perciformes, Serranidae. The transcript is spliced from 3 exons. The record is from RefSeq and is a predicted model, not a curated record.
CUUUUAUUAGGUCACAGGGUUUGUAGGAAAUACAAUCUAACCUGUCAGGGCUGAAUGCUGAUGAAAAGAUUAACCUAAUCUCCAAAAACAGAUCUACUGGCGCAGGAUCAAAAUGACAAGAGGAAGUGAGCAGUAGAGACAAGAAUAAUCUGGAAGGCUGGGGGCUUGGUGGCGGAACAACAGGCCGGGGCUGAGGAAGCCCAUCCUGCCACACACCUUGACCACUCUCUCUUUGAUCCUACACAACACUGUCGUGAGCUAGGAAGAGUCAAAAGAGAAACAUGGAUUUUGUGAGAGCAACCACCAGAACAUCACAGCGCACAUAUCAACCACCUGGAGGUGAAAGAGGAGCGGAGGGAUGUGAAAGACAGCAUGAGAGUGUUCUGAGCUUUGAGUAGCAAAGGCCUCCAGGUUCCACUGUGGACUCCCCAUAUCUCCUGGAGCCACAUACGCCCCUCUAAGCCUAACUCCAGCUUCCCCAGGCACUGCCACACCCUGGCAUCGUCUGGUUCAACGCCACUCAGAGGUGUCAGCACCUACAAUAAAAACAUCUGUGCCAUGUACUGAACCACCUUGGAAUUUUUCAGCACAAUGUAUUGUUAAUGUGCUGCCAGUUUUAUCAGCUCCAUGUACAAGACUUGGAUUUUGUUCAAGAAUGCUGAUGAUGUAUGAUAUGAUAUA